Molecule: ribosomal RNA, 440 nt
Filed under: uncultured bacterium
Lineage: Bacteria
Description: partial 16S ribosomal RNA
Rfam family: Bacterial small subunit ribosomal RNA
Source: RNAcentral
GCUACGGGUGGCAGCAGUGGGGAAUAUUGCACAAUGGGGGAAACCCUGAUGCAGCAACGCCGCGUGGGUGAAGAAGUAUUUCGGUAUGUAAAGCCCUAUCAGCAGGGAAGCGAAUGACGGUACCUGACUAAGAAGCCCCGGCUAACUACGUGCCGGCAGCCGCGGUAAUGCGUAGGGGGCAUGCGUUAUCCGGAGUUACUGGGUGUAAAGGGAGCGUAGACGGUUGUGCAAGUCUGAAGUGAAAGCCCGAGGUCCAACUGCGGAACGGCUUUGGAAACUGUGUAACUGGAGUGCUGGAGAGGUAAGCGGAAUGCCUGGUGUAGCGGUGAAAUGCGUAGAGAUCAGGAGGAACACCGGUGGCGAAGGCGGCGUACUGGACAGUAACUGACGUUGAGGCUCGAAAGCGUGGGGAGCAAACAGGAUUAGAUACCCUUGUAGUC